Molecule: ribosomal RNA, 495 nt
Filed under: uncultured bacterium
Lineage: Bacteria
Description: partial 16S ribosomal RNA
Rfam family: Bacterial small subunit ribosomal RNA
Source: RNAcentral
GACGAACGCUGGCGGCGUGCCUAAUACAUGCAAGUCGAACGCUGAAGGAGGAGCUUGCUUCUCUGGAUGAGUUGCGCACGGGUGAGUAACGCGUAGGUAACCUGCCUGUUAGCGGGGGAUAACUCUUGGAAACGAUAGCUAAUACCGCAUAAUAGUAGACGUUGCAUGUCAUUUGCUUAAAAGGUGCAAUUGUAUCAUUACCAGUUGGUCCUGCGUUGUAAUAGCUAGUUGGUGGUGUAACGGCUCAUCAAAGCGACGAUACUUAGCCGACCUGCGAGGGUGAACAGCCACACUGGGAACGGAGCAAGGCCCAGGAUCCUUCGGGAAGCAGCCAGAAGGGAUCUUCGGCAAUGGACGGAAGUCUGGCCGAGCAACGCCGCGUGAGUGAAGAAGGUUGUCGGGUCGGAAAGCUCUGUUGUAAGAGGAGAAAGAGUGGGGGAGUGGAAAGUUCACACUGUGACGGUAUCUUACCAGAAAGCGACGGCUAACUACGUG